Molecule: long non-coding RNA, 1048 nt
Filed under: Chrysemys picta bellii (western painted turtle)
Lineage: Eukaryota; Metazoa; Chordata; Testudines; Emydidae
Description: lncRNA (ENSCPBG00000006599.1)
Source: RNAcentral
UCUUGCCCCAGGGAGGGGAUUGACUGGCUUUUGUGGGGAGGUGGGCGGACAUUGGGCCACAGGACCUUUCCCCCUCCAGGAAUCACUGGCUCCAACCUGGCCCCAGGGCAGGGGCUGUCUGGCUUAGACAGGGGUUGCAGGGAUCUAUCCCAGACUCUCGGCUUCUUCCAGCUCCCACAGGUGGCCUCACUUGGGUGUUUAUCGAAAUCAGCUGCAAACUCGUGUUCAUGGCAACUGGAUUCAUCCUGGCCUAUUACCUCACCCUGCUCUAUUACAGACGGACACCCUGCUGCUAUCGUGGAAGCAGAAGGAAGGACAGGCCGGGGGCCAGGGAAUCCACUGUGCCAGAAUCCGGUUUGUAGAUCGGGACGUUCCUCAGCCACCGAAGAGCUGACAAGGAACUGGAAUCUCAGAGGACUUAGGAAACAGAGAAUGAGACCUCAGCUGGGGGAACUGCCACCCUGGGAGAAGCCAACAGGCCCAUCUAGUCUGAUAUCCUGCCCCCUCAGACUCAUGCACGUGGGAAGCACAUGGAAGCUGCUUGUAAUGUUUAUAUGACCAGUAGAUGAUCUGUUUGUUGCCUUGAUGAUUAUGACUUUGUUUGCUCUGUGAUGACCGCCAGGCAGCCAGAUACCCCAGUGACAAUCACAGUAUGAGACCCUCUAGAGAACAGAGCAGACCAGCUGAUCCUAGUUACUGAUCCCUGCUAGCCGACGCCCAACCCAGCGGCUCGAACAGCCGCUCCCAGGCAGUGCGGGGAGAAAGUUUCACCAACAAACUUUUUUUGGGUGCAAAAUGCAAAUUCGGCAACACCAAACUUUGUGUAAAUCUGGGACGAUUUUGCCAAUUUGUCUGUUUGGGGGGGGAAACCUCCCAAAAUUCCCCAAAAUUGAAAGAUUUCAUUUAGACAUUUUCAAAAAGAAACAUUUCACUUUCUCAAUUCAAACACACUGUAUGGUUUGAAAUUUCCUGUAAUUUUACUUUGUGGUUAAAAAAGUCUAAAAUGCUGGAAAUUGAAACAAAAGGUUUCAUCCUCAAACCAAAUCUA